AGAACGAACGCUGGCGGCAUGCCUAACACAUGCAAGUCGAACGAGAUCCUUCGGGAUCUAGUGGCGCACGGGUGCGUAACGCGUGGGAACCUGCCCCUCGGUUCGGAAUAACACAGAGAAAUUUGUGCUAAUACCGAAUGAUGACUUCGGUCCAAAGAUUUAUCGCCGAGGGAUGGGCCCGCGUAGGAUUAGCUUGUUGGUGGGGUAAUGGCCUACCAAGGCAACGAUCCUUAGCUGGUCUGAGAGGAUGAUCAGCCACACUGGGACUGAGACACGGCCCAGACUCCUACGGGAGGCAGCAGUGGGAAUAUUGCACAAUGGGCGCAAGCCUGAUGCAGCGACGCCGCGUGAGGGAUGACGGCCUUCGGGUUGUAAACCUCUUUCAGCAGGGGAGAAGCCGUCGUUCGGGGUGACGGUACCUGCAGAGAGCACCGGCUACUACGUGCCAGCAGCCGCGGUAA
RNAcentral lists this ribosomal RNA (461 nucleotides) under uncultured bacterium. RNAcentral's name for it is "SSU rRNA". It matches the Rfam family "Bacterial small subunit ribosomal RNA", at positions 26 to 523 of the family's 1533-position model. The record is from RNAcentral.